The sequence is a regulatory RNA element, 193 nucleotides long. It matches the Rfam family "c-di-AMP riboswitch aptamer (ydaO/yuaA leader)". From Rfam's summary of the family: This family represents a conserved RNA structure found upstream of the ydaO and yuaA genes in Bacillus subtilis and related genes in other bacteria. The ydaO/yuaA element is thought to act as a genetic "off" switch for the ydaO and yuaA genes in its native state. It is believed that the element may be triggered during osmotic shock leading to activation of ydaO, a predicted amino acid transporter gene, and members of the yuaA-yubG operon which code for KtrA and KtrB K+ transporters. The record is from Rfam.
CCGAGGCGGACGCCGAGUCCUGCCACCGCAUCGGGUCACGACCGCUGGCAGGAGCGGGGGAACCACUUCCCGGCCCGUCCCAGGACGGACCUUGGGGUGAAGCCGACGCGGCGCGGGUGACCGUGCGCGCCGGCCGGGUAGACCUCUGACCCGAACCCGACAGCUCACCUCGUAGGCGUUGGAGAGGUUCACA